RNAcentral lists this ribosomal RNA (627 nucleotides) under Lactiplantibacillus plantarum. Its description in RNAcentral is "bacterial SSU rRNA". It matches the Rfam family "Bacterial small subunit ribosomal RNA", at positions 57 to 638 of the family's 1533-position model. The record is from RNAcentral. Lineage: Bacteria; Bacillati; Bacillota; Bacilli; Lactobacillales; Lactobacillaceae.
GCAAGUCGAACGAACUUCCGUUAAUUGAUUAUGACGUGCUUGCACUGAAUGAGAUUUUAACACGAAGUGAGUGGCGGACGGGUGAGUAACACGUGGGUAACCUGCCCAGAAGCAGGGGAUAACACCUGGAAACAGAUGCUAAUACCGUAUAACAGAGAAAACCGCCUGGUUUUCUUUUAAAAGAUGGCUCUGCUAUCACUUCUGGAUGGACCCGCGGCGCAUUAGCUGGUUGGUGAGGUAACGGCUCACCAAGGCGAUGAUGCGUAGCCGACCUGAGAGGGUAAUCGGCCACAUUGGGACUGAGACACGGCCCAGACUCCUACGGGAGGCAGCAGUAGGGAAUCUUCCACAAUGGACGCAAGUCUGAUGGAGCAACGCCGCGUGAGUGAAGAAGGGUUUCGGCUCGUAAAGCUCUGUUGUUAAAGAAGAACGUGGGUGAGAGUAACUGUUCACCCAGUGACGGUAUUUAACCAGAAAGCCACGGCUAACUACGUGCCAGCAGCCGCGGUAAUACGUAGGUGGCAAGCGUUAUCCGGAUUUAUUGGGCGUAAAGCGAGCGCAGGCGGUCUUUUAAGUCUAAUGUGAAAGCCUUCGGCUCAACCGAAGAAGUGCAUUGGAAAACUGGGA